Molecule: transfer RNA, 72 nt
Filed under: Rossellomorea aquimaris
Lineage: Bacteria; Bacillati; Bacillota; Bacilli; Caryophanales; Bacillaceae
Also listed under: 3 other names
Description: tRNA-Gln
Rfam family: tRNA
About the family: Transfer RNA (tRNA) molecules are approximately 80 nucleotides in length. Their secondary structure includes four short double-helical elements and three loops (D, anti-codon, and T loops).
Source: RNAcentral
UGGGCUAUAGCCAAGCGGUAAGGCAUCGCACUUUGACUGCGACACGCGUUGGUUCGAAUCCAGCUAGCCCAG